CCCUAAGUAACGGGCGAGUGGAAGAGGGAAAAGCUCAAAUUUUAAAUCUACCUGGGUUCUUCUAGGUCGAAUUGUAAUUUGAAGAAACGAUAUCUUAUUUUGAGGUCUGGUUUAAGUCUUUUGGAACAAGACAUCAUGGAGGGUGAGAAUCCCGUGCAUGAUCAGACCGAAAUUUAUUAAUAUUCGUUUUUAAGAGUCGAGUUGUUUGGGAAUGCAGCUCAAAAUGGGUGGUAGACUUCACCUAAGGCUAAAUAUCAGCGAGAGACCGAUAGCGAACAAGUACUGUGAAGGAAAGAUGAAAAGAACUUUGAAAAGAGAGUUAAAAAGUACGUGAAAUUGUUGAAAGGGAAACGAUUGAAGUCAGUCAUGCCAGUGAAAAAUCAGUUUAACGGAUUUUUGGUUCGGAGYAGGAGGCAGGGUCAAACCGUCUCUCUUUUGGACUUGGAAUUUGUUARAUGUACUUUUUCUUUGGCAGGUCAGUGUCGAUUUCGGAGGUUGUAAAAUAACUGGGGGAAAGUAGCUCUGCUUCGGGAGAGUGUUAUAGACUCUGGGGGAUGCAGCCUGCGGGAUCGAGGAUUGCAGCAAAUGCUAUUUGGCUUGUCGCCUGAUCUCUGGACGUUACCUCAUUUGUGACAAUAUUUUUGACACCGGUGGGUACUAAUGGCCAAUAGGUUAGAGCGAUCAAAAAUUUGCUAAGGAUGCGA
Molecule: ribosomal RNA, 704 nt
Filed under: Glomeromycotina sp.
Lineage: Eukaryota; Fungi; Glomeromycota
Description: eukaryotic LSU rRNA
Rfam family: Eukaryotic large subunit ribosomal RNA
Source: RNAcentral